Molecule: long non-coding RNA, 645 nt
Filed under: Phoenix dactylifera (date palm)
Lineage: Eukaryota; Viridiplantae; Streptophyta; Magnoliopsida; Arecales; Arecaceae
Description: long non-coding RNA (PDAC_LNC020045)
Source: RNAcentral
UAAUCGCAGCAUCUAAUAAAGCUAAACUUUAACUAGGUGAUGAUCAUGGAUUCUAAUUAGGUCAUAUUACAAGCACAUGCACAUCAAUCGAUCAAGUGGUCUUCAACUCUUGAAUUGGUUCCAAGCCUCCUUGAUUCGAUCCUUGAUCAACUCUUGAUCCCAUCGCCAUCAACCGCUUAGAUCACCUUUCAUCUCAUGCCUUUGCUUCAACUUGAUCGUUGAUGUACAUCACAUCACAGAAAUACAACCAGAUGUAAAAUAAAAAUAAAAAUAAUUUACAUCUCCUUUUAGGAGGCACGCAGGCCUCUCAAAACAUCAAGUAAGAUGCAUGCAAGCAUCUGAAAAAUUACAUGACAUCGCAGAUCACAUCGCAGGUCAUUACAUUUGAUACCAAAAGGGUUUGAAUCCUAUGAUCAUCACCGUAUGCAACAAUUAUAACUUUCAGAUCUGAAAACUAACUGAUUAUAUCAUGACAUAGGUCGCUGAUCAUGCUAAUCAUGAUUCUAAACUUUGUAAUCCCAUUAACAACGCAAUUAGAAUCAUCAUUUUAUCACAUAAAAAAUCAGCAUGCAAAAAUCAGCACCCCUGAAAAAUCUGCAUGCAGAAUUUUUCAGCAUGCAUGAUCAUUCAAUUUUCAGAUCUAAU